Molecule: long non-coding RNA, 403 nt
Organism: Helianthus annuus (common sunflower)
Lineage: Eukaryota; Viridiplantae; Streptophyta; Magnoliopsida; Asterales; Asteraceae
Exons: 3
Source: RefSeq, a predicted model, not a curated record
UCACAGUUGACCAGGUCAAAUUCAAGAACAGAGAAAAGUCUCAAGGUGUGAAUUUUCAGGGAAAGUAUCUUGGGUAAAGUGCAGUAAAACUCACGUGUAUAAUUACUGAAUCAGCUAAUAAAAACGAAGCGUCGAUGACAUAAGUGAUUUAUUCAUGAAAAUCAGUUGGAUUCAAUAUUCAAAGUGAUGGUCUUAAGAAAUUGUCAAAUAUCGGACCAGAGGCUAAGUUAAAGGAAAGAGUCAAAGUGCUUGAUGAUGGACAAGAUCAUUUCUGUUGAAGAAAGAAGAUAUUCUGCAAAUCAACAACACACAUCCAAAAUACUUCAUAAUUGCUGGAAAGGAGGCUACAUCUAUUGCCAUAAUUUGGUUCAUUUACAUGCUCUGCAAACAUCCUCAUAUUCAA